UCCAGACUCCUACGGGAGGCAGCAGUGGGGGAUAUUGCACAAUGGGGGAAACCCUGAUGCAGCGACGCCGCGUGGGUGAAGAAGUAUUUCGGUAUGUAAAGCCCUAUCAGCAGGGAAGAAAGAAGACGGUACCUGACUAAGAAGCCCCGGCUAACUACGUGCCAGCAGCCGCGGUAAUACGUAGGGGGCGAGCGUUAUCCGGAUUCACUGGGUGUAAAGGGAGCGUAGACGGCCGUGCAAGCCAGGAGUGAAAGCCCGGGGCCCAACCCCGGGACUGCUCUUGGAACUGUGCGGCUGGAGUGCGGGAGGGGCAGGCGGAAUUCCUGGUGUAGCGGUGAAAUGCGUAGAUAUCAGGAGGAACACCGGCGGCGAAGGCGGCCUGCUGGACCGCGACUGACGUUGAGGCUCGAAAGCGUGGGGAGCGAACAGGAUUAGAUACCCGAGUAAUA
RNAcentral lists this ribosomal RNA (449 nucleotides) under uncultured bacterium. RNAcentral describes it as "bacterial SSU rRNA". It matches the Rfam family "Bacterial small subunit ribosomal RNA", at positions 330 to 795 of the family's 1533-position model. The record is from RNAcentral.